This 428-nucleotide small RNA is filed under the name Arabidopsis thaliana (thale cress). RNAcentral's name for it is "ATSL153880". The record is from RNAcentral. Lineage: Eukaryota; Viridiplantae; Streptophyta; Magnoliopsida; Brassicales; Brassicaceae.
UCUAAAAUUAGUAAGGUAAAAACAAUUUUAAAAGUAGAUCUAGGUAAAGACAUAAUCAUAAACUUGGUUUCCAAAUACUAAUUUUAGAAGAAAAGAAACACAAAAACUGGGAACAACUAGAACCGUCAAUUGGGCAUCUGACCAUGGGCUAAGCCCAGUCCACAACAUUAUGGACAGUCCAUGGUCGGCCCGUAAAGAAAACGGGUUAAAUGGUCUAAAGACCAAUUAUGUCCACGGGUUUAAUGGGCUAGCCCACACGGUCUAUGGUUGGCCCAUCAAGUUUCUCAACACAUCAAUUUUCUUCUCUUCUCUCUCCCUCGGCGACGAAGCUCCCUCUCUCUCUCUUUCUCGCUUCGACCUCUCUCUCAACUCCUACUCCGGUUAGUUCUACUAGAAUAUGAAUCCGUUGAUUAGAAUAAGUUCUCUCU